This is a long non-coding RNA of Canis lupus familiaris (dog), 803 nucleotides long. RefSeq lists it as uncharacterized. The transcript has 4 exons. Lineage: Eukaryota; Metazoa; Chordata; Mammalia; Carnivora; Canidae. The record is from RefSeq and is a predicted model, not a curated record.
CUUCCCUGCCUCCCUCCCUCUCCCUCCAGGCUUCAAAGACCCUAUUUUAUACAGACAACUUCAAAAGGACCUCUGAGCUUUGGCUCCAGGCCUCGCCCUGGGAACCAGGGCAGAACGAGACAGACCCUGGAGACACUACAGAUGGAAUACUACUGCAGGAGGGCCAGAGGUCCUGCAAUUUGGUCCAGAAAACAGGAACGGGAAGAGUCCAUGUUGGGUUUUACAAGGGCAAAACCAAGGCGUCAGCCAGGCUGGCCUCUGAUCAGGGAGUUCUGGGAAGAACCAUUUCCAAGGUCAUUCGGGUGAUGGCCAAGGUCAUUCAAUGAGAGGACAUAGAUUAAAGUCAGCAGCGGUAAGAGGCUGGUGGAGCCGGGCCCAGGAGAGGCCAGGCGUGAGCUUCCAGGUGUCCUUCCAGGAGGGCCAUGUGGACAGCCCUUCAUUCUCCCAGCAACAAUGUGUGACAACACAGGUCCAAAGAGCCCGUGAAAUAUCUUACUAGGCGGUCAUGAUUUCGGCCCAGGGAAAUCGAAAAUGGCCUGGCAUGCUGGCAACCGGUAAGUCAUUCUCCUCUAAGGUUCCCAAAGAUCCGAUGAGCUAACUAACUGGAAGGACCCUGUCUAAUGUGUGUGAAGUGACUGAGGGCACCAUGUUCAAAGGGACCAGGAGGGUCACGCUUUUACUUGCUGGUUACUUUUCUCUCUUAGACAUUUAUCGAAAGAGAACACUCUGGGGGUGCCUGGGUGGCUCAGCCGGUGAAGCAUCUGCUUUCGGCUCAGGUCAUGAUCUCAGGGUCUUGGGAUGGA